CUCAUAGCGUAUAUUAAAGUUGUUGCAGUUAAAACGCUCGUAGUCGGAUUUCGGGGCGGGCUGCUCGGUCUGCCGAUGGGUAUGCACUGGGUGGCGCGUCCUUCCUUCCGGAGACCGCGCCUUCUCUUAACUGAGCGGGCGCGGGAGACGGAACGUUUACUUUGAAAAAAUCAGAGUGUUUCAAGCAGGCAUCUCGCUCUUGCAUGGAUUAGCAUGGGAUAAUGAAAUAGGACUUUGGUGCUAUUUUGUUGGUUUCGAACACCGAAGUAAUGAUUAACAGGGACAGUCAGGGGCACUCGUAUUCCGUCGAGAGAGGUGAAAUUCUCAGACCAACGGAAGACGAACCACUGCGAAAGCAUUUGCCAGGGAUGUUUUCACUGAUCAAGAACGAAAGUUAGGGGAUCGAAGACGAUCAGAUACCGUCGUAGUCUUAACCAUAAACCAUGCCGACUAGGGAUUCGAGGGUGUUCCAUCUGUGACCCCUUGAGCACCUUUCGGGAAACUAAAGUCUUUGGGUUCCGGGGGGAGUAUGGUCGCAAGGCUGAAACUUAAAGGAAUUGACGGAAGGGCACCACCAGGAGUGGAGCCUGCGGCUUAAUUUGACUCAACACGGGGAAACUUACCAGGUCCAGACAUUGUGAGGAUUGACAGAUUGAGAGCUCUUUCUUGAUUCAAUGGGUGGUGGUGCAUGGCCGUUCUUAGUUGGUGGAGUGAUUUGUCUGGUUA
RNAcentral lists this ribosomal RNA (726 nucleotides) under uncultured eukaryote. Its description in RNAcentral is "SSU rRNA". It matches the Rfam family "Eukaryotic small subunit ribosomal RNA", at positions 591 to 1321 of the family's 1831-position model. The record is from RNAcentral.